CGCGUAGGUGGUAGUGCAAGUCUGGGGUGGAAUCCCAGGGCUUAACCCUGGAACUGCCUUGGAAACUGUAUUACUUGAGUCAGUGAGGGGAGGGUAGAAUUCCUGGUGUAGCGGUGAAAUACGUAGAUAUCAGGAGGAAGGCCUGUGGCGAAGGCGGCCCUCUGGCGCUGAACUGACACUGAGGCGCGAAAGCGUGGGGAGCAAACAGGAUUAGAUACCCUGGUAGUCCACGCCCUAAACGGUGGGUACUAGGUGUAGGGCUCGUAAGGGUUCUGUGCCGAAGCGAAAGCAUUAAGUACCCCGCCUGGGGAGUACGGCCGCAAGGUUGAA
Molecule: ribosomal RNA, 330 nt
Filed under: uncultured bacterium
Lineage: Bacteria
Description: bacterial SSU rRNA
Rfam family: Bacterial small subunit ribosomal RNA
Source: RNAcentral